Molecule: ribosomal RNA, 253 nt
Filed under: uncultured bacterium
Lineage: Bacteria
Description: partial 16S ribosomal RNA
Rfam family: Bacterial small subunit ribosomal RNA
Source: RNAcentral
UACGGGGGGGGCAAGCGUUGUUCGGAAUUAUUGGGCGUAAAGAGCUCGUAGGCGGUUUGUCGCGUCUGCUGUGAAAACUCGGGGCUUAACUCCGGGCCUGCAGUGGGUACGGGCAGACUAGAGUGCGGUAGGGGAGACUGGAAUUCCUGGUGUAGCGGUGAAAUGCGUAGAUAUCGGAAGGAACACCGGUGGCGAAAGCGGCGUGCUGGAUCCCUUCUGACGCUGAGGCGCGAAAGCCAGGGGAGCGAACGGG